GAUGAACGCUGGCGGCGUGCCUAAUACAUGCAAGUCGAGCGAACAGACGAGGAGCUUGCUCCUCUGACGUUAGCGGCGGACGGGUGAGUAACACGUGGAUAACCUACCUAUAAGACUGGGAUAACUUCGGGAAACCGGAGCUAAUACCGGAUAAUAUAUUGAACCGCAUGGUUCAAUAGUGAAAGACGGUUUUGCUGUCACUUAUAGAUGGAUCCGCGCCGCAUUAGCUAGUUGGUAAGGUAACGGCUUACCAAGGCAACGAUGCGUAGCCGACCUGAGAGGGUGAUCGGCCACACUGGAACUGAGACACGGUCCAGACUCCUACGGGAGGCAGCAGUAGGGAAUCGUCCGCAAUGGGCGAAAGCCUGACGGAGCAACGCCGCGUGAGUGAUGAAGGUCUUCGGAUCGUAAAACUCUGUUAUGAGGGAAGAACAAAUGUGUAAGUAACUAUGCACGUCUUGACGGUACCUAAUCAGAAAGCCACGGCUAACUACGUG
RNAcentral lists this ribosomal RNA (497 nucleotides) under uncultured bacterium. RNAcentral's name for it is "partial 16S ribosomal RNA". It matches the Rfam family "Bacterial small subunit ribosomal RNA", at positions 28 to 507 of the family's 1533-position model. The record is from RNAcentral.